GUGGAAAUAGAGGGCAAGGAAAGGCACGUGUCGUUCCAGCGUGCCAAGAUAGCUUGUGCUCGUUGAACUGAUACGAUACAGUAACUAGAGCACAAAUGCGAAAACGAAACCGAUUCUGUUCUCCGCGCUCACCGCAUAGAGAAAGGGAUUGAACAAGAGCGGACACUCGGUGAAAAUUGGAAACAGGAAACACGUCACGCUAUAGUAUUAACACCGACGAAUUGGGGGCGCGAGCAUCGAAAAAAAGAAGAAUGUGAAAUGAGAUUAACAGAAAUUGUUUUAUUUUUUUAUUAUUUUUUAUUAAGAAUAUCUGCGUAUAAAUUAAAUUAAUCCUUGCGGCUUACUUCCGUUGCCUAGCGACAGGCGAACCGGCGAAUGACGAGCCAGAUGUUUGCAUCAUUCGUCAGAGACACCUCCGAAGCGAGAGAGACCGGCCGCGCAUCUGAGCGUUGGACUGUUCGGGCACCCGUCUGCCUGUUUUUCUAUUUUGGGAUUUAGCCUGGUUUGGUGGCCUCCCGGCGAAUUAUUGCGUUCAUUCGGAACUUCGACAUGGCAGCACUGCACUAUUGGACUACGGCAAGCUCACGUCGUCUGGUGGAUCUUCCUGCGGAAACUACUGCUGCUUACCUGGUGCCACAACGUUGGAUGAAUGCACAAAAAGCCCGCGACGAGCAUUUACAAAGAAUAAAAUAAACGUAAAUUUUUCCUCAUUUCACAA
Long non-coding RNA from Dermacentor andersoni, 718 nucleotides. RefSeq lists it as uncharacterized. Lineage: Eukaryota; Metazoa; Arthropoda; Arachnida; Ixodida; Ixodidae. The record is from RefSeq and is a predicted model, not a curated record.